Long non-coding RNA from Oncorhynchus kisutch (coho salmon), 1971 nucleotides. The record is from Ensembl. Lineage: Eukaryota; Metazoa; Chordata; Actinopteri; Salmoniformes; Salmonidae.
UAAAGAUGUACAAGCAUUCAACCCACCACUCUAGAAGCCUAUAGUCUGAGGUCAUGCUUUGAUCAAGCUCACCAUCCAGAGACACACGGACAUAAUGAGGGAAGGCAAAGGCAAAGAAGAGACAAACAUACCGUUAGACACAAGCAGGAGGGCCAACAGAACACACUGUCCAUGGGAUUCCAUCUUCAUGCCUACACAGUGACAGGACCACACUGAAGCACUCUACUGUAGCCACUCUGACAGCACGAGGGCUGGAUUAGGAUAAUCCACAGGACACUAAUGGCCAGUAAUACCCUUUAUCUCCUCACAAAGUCCCUCCCUCAUCUGUUGAGGGCCAGUUGGGAAAAUGCAAUGAGGAAACAGUAAUGCAAUGUGUAAUGUACCAGAGCAGGGUCCUAAUGGCUGGAUCCCCUGAAGGGGCCCAGCUGCUAUACCCUGUCACCCAUAUCAUGGAGCAGAAGGUGUGUUCAAGGCAUUUGGGGUUGUCUAUUUUAGGAAAUGAUUUAUUUACAGAAUAAGGGGAAUAGUGUGUGUGCGUGGGUUCGACUUAACAACAAACCCCAGACUUUCUGGAUAAGGUUUUCAUUAUUUUCCGACCAGGAAGUACCAUUUUUAUUUAUAAAGAUAAAUAGGUUCUCUGAUUGGUCAGGUGGGUUAACGUGUCAAAACGUUUCAAAAUGCUGGAACUAAAAGUGACCCAGCCAGGCGUGAACAGCACAGGUGCGCACCAUAGAUAAAUUGCCCAAGGCUGAAUUCAAUCUUCAUAACACCAAAGUGGGCGUCAUAGGCCUAUAAAAAGGUCAUUGUAAGUGUAACCUGUUAUAAGACUAUCCAAAGGAAAAACACAAUGAAGGUAUUUGUUAGCAGAACAACGAAGAAACCCUUCAGAGAGCAGAAGAGGAAAAACAAGGCCUACUCCACCUUCAUCUACAGGAUCCGGAGAGAGGGUGACUGCAUCCCCACCAUGGACCGUUUAUUGGUGAACGAGUCUACCUGCCCACGGAGGGUGCUGGUCCUUCUGGUCGGCUCCGAGGCCGCCCGCCUGUCACGGCUCAACAGGAGGAAAGUCAUCACCCAACUAGAGGUCCACACUGCCAUGGCAUGGCUGAGACAAGGGAGAAAACAUGCCAGGCAACCGGGCGCCUGAAUGCUCUUAUGAACGCUUUGAAUUUUAUGUAUAUUUAAUAAAGAUGUCCUGUUUUUACUCAUCGUGUUGUCAUUCCAGCAAAUCAAUGCACCACUAAAUGUUUAAAACCAGUUGCGCACCUGAAGGCUGUAUAAUUGAAUGUUAAAGCGGUAUGCUCUCGCCUCUAAUGGCGGGCCAAUUACUUCGAGGGGCGGGGAAAGGCAUGGCCAUAAUUGAUGCAUUUGCUUGUCUUGUCAGGGGCGCAGAUGUGCGCCAAACUCAGUCAACCAUAGCCGAACUCCGGCGCGUGGGGAAAGCUGAAAUCAAAUGGACCCUUUUGUUCCUCGCUGUGCGUGACGCCCACUCAAAACACGCGUGUUGCUUAAGGAAGUAGAAGCGUACACCAUGUACAAGACUCUCUUUGGCGUAGACUCUACUGCGGCACAACCAAACAUCUUUAUCAACCUAACCGGUGUCCAGGAGGAACAGGCGUGUUCCUAGAUGAGCUGGGUAGUCUUGGACUUGUCGCAGGGUAAGUCAUUUACUGGCAAUAUAGGCUAUUGGUCACUGAAUCAGCUGUUGCAUCCUGUGUAGGGAAUUUAAUUACUAUAUUCACCUUUGCAGAUUUAACAUGUGAACAGCAACAGGUGUUUGUCUCGUGCAGAUCAAUGGGCAUACUACAGUGACGCAUGCAGGAUGAAUUAGUUUAUGCGACAUGUUUAAUUUAAUAGAGUACAAUUAUGUGCGUAUUUCGCCAUUUGUUUGUGUUUUUCCCCCACCAAGAGCCGUUUGUCAAAGGAGAUGCUGCUGGGGUAUUGUAACAGAGGCUGAGAGCGAGGCGAUGU